RNAcentral lists this ribosomal RNA (313 nucleotides) under uncultured Lutimonas sp. Its description in RNAcentral is "bacterial SSU rRNA". It matches the Rfam family "Bacterial small subunit ribosomal RNA", at positions 28 to 334 of the family's 1533-position model. Lineage: Bacteria; Pseudomonadati; Bacteroidota; Flavobacteriia; Flavobacteriales; Flavobacteriaceae. The record is from RNAcentral.
GAUGAACGCUAGCGGCAGGCUUAACACAUGCAAGUCGAGGGGUAACAGGAUUUAGUUUACUAGAUUGCUGACGACCGGCGCACGGGUGAGUAACGCGUAUACAAUUUGCCUUUUACUGAGGAAUAGCCCAGAGAAAUUCGGAUUAAUGCUUCAUAGUAUUAUUUGGUCACCUGGCCGAGUAAUUAAAGUUCCGGCGGUAAAAGAUGAGUAUGCGUCCUAUUAGCUAGAUGGUAAGGUAACGGCUUACCAUGGCGACGAUAGGUAGGGGUCCUGAGAGGGAGAUCCCCCACACUGGUACUGAGACACGGACCAG